CAAGACCUCGCGUUAUUGGAGCGGCCGAUGCCGGAUUAGCUAGUUGGUGGGGUAAAGGCCCACCAAGGCGACGAUCCGUAGCUGGCCUGAGAGGACGACCAGCCACACUGGGACUGAGACACGGCCCAGACUCCUACGGGAGGCAGCAGUGGGGAAUUUUGGACAAUGGGCGCAAGCCUGAUCCAGCCAUGCCGCGUGAGUGAAGAAGGCCUUCGGGUUGUAAAGCUCUUUCGCAAGGAAAGAAAACUUAUCCUCUAAUAAAGGGUGAGGUUGACGGUACCUUGAUAAGAAGCACCGGCUAACUACGUGCCAGCAGCCGCGGUAAUACGUAGGGUGCGAGCGUUAAUCGGAAUUACUGGGCGUAAAGCGUGCGCAGGCGGUUUUGUAAGUCAGAUGUGAAAUCCCCGGGCUCAACCUGGGAACU
RNAcentral lists this ribosomal RNA (424 nucleotides) under uncultured Nitrosospira sp. RNAcentral's name for it is "bacterial SSU rRNA". It matches the Rfam family "Bacterial small subunit ribosomal RNA", at positions 202 to 622 of the family's 1533-position model. Lineage: Bacteria; Pseudomonadati; Pseudomonadota; Betaproteobacteria; Nitrosomonadales; Nitrosomonadaceae. The record is from RNAcentral.